This 766-nucleotide ribosomal RNA is filed under the name uncultured Leuconostoc sp. RNAcentral describes it as "bacterial SSU rRNA". It matches the Rfam family "Bacterial small subunit ribosomal RNA", at positions 12 to 760 of the family's 1533-position model. Lineage: Bacteria; Bacillati; Bacillota; Bacilli; Lactobacillales; Lactobacillaceae. The record is from RNAcentral.
UUUGAUUCCUGGCUCAGGAUGAACGCUGGCGGCGUGCCUAAUACAUGCAAGUCGAACGCGCAGCGAGAGGUGCUUGCACCUUUCAAGCGAGUGGCGAACGGGUGAGUAACACGUGGAUAACCUGCCUCAAGGCUGGGGAUAACAUUUGGAAACAGAUGCUAAUACCGAAUAAAACUUAGUAUCGCAUGAUAUCAAGUUAAAAGGCGCUACGGCGUCACCUAGAGAUGGAUCCGCGGUGCAUUAGUUAGUUGGUGGGGUAAAGGCUUACCAAGACGAUGAUGCAUAGCCGAGUUGAGAGACUGAUCGGCCACAUUGGGACUGAGACACGGCCCAAACUCCUACGGGAGGCUGCAGUAGGGAAUCUUCCACAAUGGGCGCAAGCCUGAUGGAGCAACGCCGCGUGUGUGAUGAAGGCUUUCGGGUCGUAAAGCACUGUUGUAUGGGAAGAAAUGCUAAAAUAGGGAAUGAUUUUAGUUUGACGGUACCAUACCAGAAAGGGACGGCUAAAUACGUGCCAGCAGCCGCGGUAAUACGUAUGUCCCGAGCGUUAUCCGGAUUUAUUGGGCGUAAAGCGAGCGCAGACGGUUGAUUAAGUCUGAUGUGAAAGCCCGGAGCUCAACUCCGGAAUGGCAUUGGAAACUGGUUAACUCGAGUGUUGUAGAGGUAAGUGGAACUCCAUGUGUAGCGGUGGAAUGCGUAGAUAUAUGGAAGAACACCAGUGGCGAAGGCGGCUUACUGGACAACAACUGACGUGAGGCUCGAAAGU